CGGGGAGGGUCAUUGGAAACUGGGAGACUUGAGUGCAGAAGAGGAGAGUGGAAUUCCAUGUGUAGCGGUGAAAUGCGUAGAUAUAUGGAGGAACACCAGUGGCGAAGGCGGCUCUCUGGUCUGUAACUGACGCUGAGGCUCGAAAGCGUGGGGAGCGAACAGGAUUAGAUACCCUGGUAGUCCACGCCGUAAACGAUGAGUGCUAAGUGUUGGAGGGUUUCCGCCCUUCAGUGCUGCAGCAAACGCAUUAAGCACUCCGCCUGGGGAGUACGACCGCAAGGUUGAAACUCAAAGGAAUUGACGGGGGCCCGCACAAGCGGUGGAGCAUGUGGUUUAAUUCGAAGCAACGCGAAGAACCUUACCAGGUCUUGACAUCCUUUGACCACUCUAGAGAUAGAGCUUCCCCUUCGGGGGCAAAGUGACAGGUGGUGCAUGGUUGUCGUCAGCUCGUGUCGUGAGAUGUUGGGUUAAGUCCCGCAACGAGCGCAACCCUUAUUGUUAGUUGCCAUCAUUUAGUUGGGCACUCUAGCGAGACUGCCGGUGACAAACCGGAGGAAGGUGGGGAUGACGUCAAAUCAUCAUGCCCCUUAUGACCCUGGGCUACACACGUGCUACAAUGGGAAGUACAACGAGUUGCGAAGUCGC
Molecule: ribosomal RNA, 645 nt
Filed under: Enterococcus sp. 2V5C
Lineage: Bacteria; Bacillati; Bacillota; Bacilli; Lactobacillales; Enterococcaceae
Description: bacterial SSU rRNA
Rfam family: Bacterial small subunit ribosomal RNA
Source: RNAcentral